Molecule: ribosomal RNA, 497 nt
Filed under: uncultured bacterium
Lineage: Bacteria
Description: partial 16S ribosomal RNA
Rfam family: Bacterial small subunit ribosomal RNA
Source: RNAcentral
GAUGAACGCUGGCGGCGUGCCUAAUACAUGCAAGUCGAGCGAACAGAUGAGGAGCUUGCUCCUCUGACGUUAGCGGCGGACGGGUGAGUAACACGUGGAUAACCUACCUAUAAGACUGGGAUAACUUCGGGAAACCGGAGCUAAUACCGGAUAAUAUAUUGAACCGCAUGGUUCAAUAGUGAAAUACGGCUUUGCUGUCACUUAUAGAUGGAUCCGCGCCGCAUUAGCUAGUUGGUAAGGUAACGGCUUACCAAGGCGACGAUGCGUAGCCGACCUGAGAGGGUGAUCGGCCACACUGGAACUGAGACACGGUCCAGACUCCUACGGGAGGCAGCAGUAGGGAAUCUUCCGCAAUGGGCGAAAGCCUGACGGAGCAACGCCGCGUGAGUGAUGAAGGUCUUCGGAUCGUAAAACUCUGUUAUUAGGGAAGAACAAAUGUGUAAGUAACUAUGCACGUCUUGACGGUACCUAAUCAGAAAGCCACGGCUAACUACGUG